This 253-nucleotide ribosomal RNA is filed under the name uncultured bacterium. Its description in RNAcentral is "partial 16S ribosomal RNA". It matches the Rfam family "Bacterial small subunit ribosomal RNA", at positions 524 to 776 of the family's 1533-position model. The record is from RNAcentral.
GACAGAGGGUGCAAACGUUGUUCGGAAUUACUGGGCGUAAAGCGCGUGUAGGCGGCUUCGCAAGUCGGGUGUGAAAUCCCACGGCUCAACCGUGGAAGUGCAUUCGAGACUGCAAGGCUAGAGUCCUGGAGAGGAAGGUGGAAUGCUUGGUGUAGAGGUGAAAUUCGUAGAUAUCAAGCGGAACACCGGUGGCGAAGGCGACCUUCUGGACAGUGACUGACGCUGAGACGCGAAAGCGUGGGGAGCAAACAGG